Molecule: RNase P RNA, 340 nt
Filed under: pig gut metagenome
Description: Bacterial RNase P class A
Rfam family: Bacterial RNase P class A
About the family: Ribonuclease P (RNase P) is a ubiquitous endoribonuclease, found in archaea, bacteria and eukarya as well as chloroplasts and mitochondria. Its best characterised activity is the generation of mature 5'-ends of tRNAs by cleaving the 5'-leader elements of precursor-tRNAs.
Source: RNAcentral
AGGCCGUCGGAUGAGGAAAGUCCGGGCUUCACAGGGCAGGAUAACGGGUAACGCCCGCCGAGGGUAACCUCCGGACAAGUGCAACAGAGAGAUACCGCCUUAUUUUCCCGCGUCAGCGGGGGAAAAAGGUAAGGGUGGAAAGGCGAGGUAAGAGCUCACCGGCCGCUCGGAGACGAAGCGGUCCUGUAAACUCUAUCCGAAGCAACACCGUGACGGGGAACUCGCAGCAUAUGCGACGCGCCGGCCCGGCGCGCGGAUUCCUCAGGGGUGGCAUGAGGCACGCUGGCAACAGCGGUCCCAGAUAGAUGAUCGUUUUCAACAGAACCCGGCUUACAGGACA